UACAUGCAGUCGAGCGAACAGAUGAGAAGCUUGCUUCUCUGAUGUUAGCGGCGGACGGGUGAGUAACACGUGGGUAACCUACCUAUAAGACUGGGAUAACUCCGGGAAACCGGGGCUAAUACCGGAUAAUAUUUUGAACCGCAUGGUUCGAUAGUGAAAGACGGUUUCGGCUGUCACUUAUAGAUGGACCCGCGCCGUAUUAGCUAGUUGGUAAGGUAACGGCUUACCAAGGCGACGAUACGUAGCCGACCUGAGAGGGUGAUCGGCCACACUGGAACUGAGACACGGUCCAGACUCCUACGGGAGGCAGCAGUAGGGAAUCUUCCGCAAUGGGCGAAAGCCUGACGGAGCAACGCCGCGUGAGUGAUGAAGGUCUUCGGAUCGUAAAACUCUGUUGUUAGGGAAGAACAAAUUUGUUAGUAACUGAACAAGUCUUGACGGUACCUAACCAGAAAGCCACGGCUAACUACGUGCC
Molecule: ribosomal RNA, 475 nt
Filed under: Mammaliicoccus sciuri
Lineage: Bacteria; Bacillati; Bacillota; Bacilli; Caryophanales; Staphylococcaceae
Description: bacterial SSU rRNA
Rfam family: Bacterial small subunit ribosomal RNA
Source: RNAcentral